AAACCAGCACCUCAAGUGGUCAGGAUGAUUAUUGGGCCUAAAGCAUCCGUAGCCGGCUCUGUAAGUUUUCGGUUAAAUCUGUACGCUUAACGUACAGGCUGCUGGGAAUACUGCAGAGCUAGGGAGUGGGAGAGGUAGACGGUACUCGGGAGGAAGUGGUAAAAUGCUUUGAUCUCUCGAUGACCAACUGUGGCGAAGGCGGUCUACCAGAACACGUCCGACGGUGAGGGAUGAAAGCUGGGGGAGCAAACCGGAUUAGAAACCCGAGUAGUCC
RNAcentral lists this ribosomal RNA (274 nucleotides) under uncultured bacterium. RNAcentral's name for it is "partial 16S ribosomal RNA". It matches the Rfam family "Archaeal small subunit ribosomal RNA", at positions 473 to 747 of the family's 1478-position model. The record is from RNAcentral.